RNAcentral lists this transfer RNA (69 nucleotides) under Astrotoma agassizii. RNAcentral describes it as "tRNA-Glu". Lineage: Eukaryota; Metazoa; Echinodermata; Ophiuroidea; Euryalida; Gorgonocephalidae. The record is from RNAcentral.
AUCUAUAUAGUUUAAUUAAAAACAAUAAACUUUCUAUUUAUAAAUUUCUACAAGCCUAGUAUAUAGAUU